CGUGGCCGAGGUUACUGCCAGAAGUAAAUGGGGAGGGGCUAUUGACCGGAGCUUCCAGCUUGGCUCCGAACCACGCCCAGUUGGGCUGGGCGUCCGCCCGGAGUUGGCCUCGCGCGGCAGGCGGGGGAGGCGGAGGAGCGGGAGGGGUGGUCGGAGGGGAGGCCGGAGGGGAUCCCGGGAGGAGGACACGCCGGCGCAGGCCUACGGCGCGUCACGCGUGGCGCGGCAGCCAUGGCGGGAAGCGAGCUGCGCAGCGGAGGCAGCUCCGCGCCGACGCCCUACAGCGAUUGGAGUCGCCUGGAGGCGGCCAUCCUCAGCGGCUGGAGAACCUUCUGGCAGUCGGUGGGCAAAGAGAGCGCGGCUCCGGCAGCCUCCCGGGAGGAGGCGGUUGAGGAGGCCAGUACCCUGACUCGGCUGCCGAUUGAUGUACAGCUGUAUAUUUUGUCAUUUCUUUCACCCCAUGAUCUUUGUCAGUUGGGAAGUACAAAUCGUUAUUGGAACGAGACUGUCCGAGAUCCAAUUCUUUGGAGAUAUUUUCUGUUGCGGGAUCUUCCUUCUUGGUCUUCUGUUGACUGGAAGUCUCUUCCUGAUCUAGAAAUCUUAAAAAACCCCAUAUCUGAAGUCACUGAUAGUGCAUUUUUUGACUAUAUGGCAGUCUAUAAAAUGUGUUGUCCACAUACAAGAAGAUCCUUGAAAUCCAGCCGUCCUGUGUAUGGAGCUGUCACCUCUUUUUUGCACUCACUGAUCAUUCAUAAUGAACCACGAUUUGCUAUGUUUGGACCAGGUUUGGAAGAAUUGAAUACAUCUUUGGUGUUGAGCUUAAUGUCAUCUGAGGAACUUUGCCCAACAGCUGGUUUGCCUCAGAGGCAGAUUGAUGGUAUUGGAUCAGGAGUCAAUUUUCAGUUGAGCAACCAACAUAAAUUCAACAUCCUGAUAUUAUAUUCAACUACCAGAAAGGAAAGAGAUAGAGCAAGGGAAGAGCAUACAAGUGCAGUUAACAAGAUGUUCAGUCUACAGAAUGAAGGGAAUGAUCAACAAGGAAGCCGGUACAGUGUGAUUCCACAAAUUCAGAAAGUGUGUGAAGUUGUAGAUGGGUUCAUCUAUGUUGCAAAUGCUGAAGCUCAUAGAAGACAUGAAUGGCAGGAUGAAUUUUCUCGUAUUAUGGCAAUGACAGAUCCAGCUUUUGGCUCUUCUGGAAGACCAUUGCUGGUUUUAUCUUGUAUUUCUCAAGCAAAUGUGAAAAGAAUGCCCUGUUUUUAUUUGGCCCAUGAACUGCGUCUGAAUCUUCUAAACCACCCAUGGAUGGUCCAGGAUACAGAAGCUGAAACUCUAGCUGGUUUUUUGAAUGGCAUUCAGUGGAUUCUUGAAGAAGUAGUAUCUAAGAAUGCAAGAUGAUCCUCCUUUUGGACCUUGGAAUCUGAAACCAUUUGAAGUUCGUUACUAAGGUCAUGAUGUCGAUGGAUGUUUGCUUAGGUCAGCUCACUUUGUUCUGCCUUUGUGCAGGUUUUGAUACGAAGAUUAUGCUGACCUCCUAAAAUGAAUUUGGAAGUAUUCCUCUUCCUAUAUUCUUGAAAGAGUUGUGUAAGGUUAGUAUUAACUAUUUCUUAUCAGUGAAAGAAUCUGGAUCUGUACUUUUCUUUGUGGGGAAGUUUUUAACACAAUUUUAAUUUCUCUAACAGAUACAGUUAUUGAAGUUUUCUGUUUUUCAUCUAGUGUUAUUUUCUGGCAGCUGUGUCUUUCAAAGAAUUUUCCAUCAUACCUUCUUUCAUAGAUGUCCUGUGGAGUAAAUGAAUUGGUAAAGUGGUUAGGACAGUCCAUAAUACAUAAAGCCUUCCAUAGCUCAAAACUAGUCAAUAAUGAAUACUUUAAUCUGACUCCCAAUGUUAUUUAUUUCCUUUCCCAGCACUGCUAGUCAUCCAGAUAUUACUGUAUAAAUGAGAACUUUUCUUAGCCCUUAUUAAGUGAAUAAAAUAUCUGGCGUUUAUGAAAUUGUGAUUGUUAUCAUGAUGAUGAGUUGCAGUAUCAAAUUUUGUUAGUAAAGCAUUCAUAAAUAAAUCAGACAUAAGAAUGAGACUAGAUGAGCAUUGUAAGUUAUUUUUUUAAUUAUAAUUUAUUUUGUUUUUAUUUUUUUAAUUGUAC
Trichechus manatus latirostris (Florida manatee) is the source of this 2139-nucleotide RNA transcript. It is a transcript of the gene named F-box protein 4, with no coding region annotated. Lineage: Eukaryota; Metazoa; Chordata; Mammalia; Sirenia; Trichechidae. The record is from RefSeq and is a predicted model, not a curated record. The transcript is spliced from 8 exons.